Sinocyclocheilus grahami is the source of this 3202-nucleotide long non-coding RNA. RefSeq lists it as uncharacterized. The transcript has 3 exons. The record is from RefSeq and is a predicted model, not a curated record. Lineage: Eukaryota; Metazoa; Chordata; Actinopteri; Cypriniformes; Cyprinidae.
GACCUGUUUUUGUUGUUCAUGUCCUAAAAUGAUCUCUGUCCUCUCUGGCUCGUCCGCAGGGCUGCAGUUUGAGUUCAUCAACCCCAUCUUUGAGUUUUCAAAAGGCAUGAAUGACCUCCACCUGGAUGAGGCAGAGUACGCUUUGCUCAUCGCUAUCAACAUUUUCUCAGCAGACCGACCGAACGUGCAGGAUCACGAGUUAGUGGAAAGACUACAGCAGCCAUAUGUGGACGCUCUCCACUCUUACAUCAGAAUAAAACGACCCAAUGAUCAUCUGAUGUUUCCCCGGAUGCUGAUGAAGCUGGUCAGCCUACGCACACUGAGCAGCGUCCACUCAGAGCAAGUCUUUGCUCUGCGCCUCCAAGACAAGAAACUCCCACCUCUGCUUUCUGAAAUUUGGGAUGUCCACGAGUGAGCCAGCGCUCCACCUCCAGGACAGAAUGAGCCAGUGUCAGGAAAACAUGGGUGGGCAGGGGUCCUCUACAGACAGAACACAGGGUUCAUGAUGUCCUUAAGGGCUGAAAUGUCUCCCAUUGUCACAAGAAGCCUGGUUUUUUUAUUCUCUUCCAUGACUUCUAUAUUUUAGACCCAGUGGUCAGUGAGCUGCUUCAUUUGAAUGUGCUAUUGAUAGACUGUAUGGCCAGAAGUAGCUCAGGGACUGUUCAGAACAGGUGAUGGUUAUUUGACCAUGAUCAUUUGGGCUUGGGCAUCUGGAUGGGUUUGGAUUCAGAGACUGACUUGCUGGAGUGAGCAGCCACAAACGGAGUGGUCAUGAUUUUUUUAGUUGUUGUUUUUGUUUAUACCUAAUGUUUCCAGUACCAAAAGCUUUGAGCAGGUUUUGGCAAUGGUUUCUACUUUCUAAUUAACAGAAGAGGUUGUCAUGAAGGUUCUUCAUUACAGAAAUGUAGUUUAUUUACAGUGUUUUUGUGAUUCCACUCUGACUGAUUGAUUUGAAUUUUUUUUUUUACAUGGAUAGAUCAUGCACAGCAAUGAGUAACAAACACAGUCUUCUGUUAGUGCAAACUCAUUCGCUCAGUUUUAUAACAUGAUGUUUGACAUGCAUUUAGUCUCCAAUUAAUGUUAAACCGCAAUCUUCUGUUAACAUCCAAAGGUUUUUAUGGACAAAAUCAAUCAGUGCUUUACCAGUACAAGCCAUUCAGAGCCUGUGUUACACUGAUCCAGCAUAUCACAAGGUACACAAGGAAUUCUGUUUUCUGCUGGUUGGAAUAUUCAGAAGAACUGACAAACCGAAUGGCCUGAUUUUGAGGUCGAACGUAUUGCAGAUGUAUUCUGCACACCAACCCAAUGUUUUGGAGUGGUUAAAAGGGCUUACCAGUGUAGCAUAUGGUUGGCAGGGAUCGGUAAGACUCACUGGAGCCAUUAAACCGAAUCAGUGUGCUGCUCAACUCACAGCGACUACUGAGAUACAUAGACAGAUAGAUAACCUUCAAGUGUGAAGCCUUCUGAAAACUUAAUGUAGACCAUGAUUAUUCUUUUUCCAUUACAUUAUCAUGUUUAGUUACUGCAAUCUUCAACCUAAUAUGCUGUAGUUUCUCUUUGUUUGACUCGUCAGUUCUACUUGGACGGCUGAUGUUGUUUGGCAGUUCAUUCUUGAAAACUUAAUAUACAUGCACAACCUAGUUCUCAGUUUGAUGCCUAUCUCGAUCAAUGUGUCAUUUUUGUCCCUGAAUGCAACACAAAUCACAAAUGAGCAGUAUAGUACUAUAUAUCUUCCAAAAUCAGUGGUUGAAAUUGUCAAAGAAAAGUCAUAAUUUUUCUAGUAUCAUUGUUCUAUUUAGUUCUAUAUACACCCAUUCUUCAAUGAGGAUAGUUUUGUCAACUUUUAUUUACACAUGCUAAAUCAUUUCAUUUAAAUUGUAAUUUUCCUUUUUGUGUGAUUUUGAAAUGAUCUAGCAGGCUGUUUUAACAGUUUUGUUGUACCUCACUUGUGCAUUAUGAUGAUAUUCAGAUAGUCUGAAAGCACAACUUAGAAUAAAACCUGUCCCAUCUACAUCAAGAGUGAUCGGCGAUGUAUGCGAAACAACCUUAUUUUGGUAUUAAACUGAACUGUAUCACAGCAGUAGCUCUGAAAAAAGGGACUAGGCAAACGAGAGCUGCUUAUGCUCCGUAGCAAUGCAAAUACCCAGUGUGACCUUGUACAAUUCAGGUUUUACUGAUCUUAAAAACCACUUUUAUGAAAAACAUGGGUUGUGGUGAAUCAAUUACAGAAACUAACAUUGCAAAAAUAACCAUAAUUUCCAUGGUUGACUAAUACAGUUGGUUUGCUGUGGCAUUCUUUGCCCUGCCUGCGCAAAUUAUUGAGACUUUGCUUCCUGAAUCUGAUCAGUUUUUAUACCACCUUUCUAUCAGCUUGUGAAAUUGCUAAAGCACCUUAGUUUUUCUCAAGCUCUUUUUGAUGUCUGAUUAGACGUGUCCAGGCUCAUUUUAUUCGAAGUCAUUUCCGAUCUUUCACAAGGGCUUUUCCUUCAUCCGUUCAUAUUUCCCCAGUUGGCUGAGCAGCCAAACUCAGACAGUUCACAUGAAACUUGGUAUAAAACCCACUGAAAGACAUGCAUCGUUGAACCUCAAUGACCUUCCUGAUGAUUUGUCAUUGCUUAUCAUCUGUUUGUGCACAUAUGAAGUGUGAGGAGGGCAUAGACAAAUUCUAGUAAUCACCGUAAUGAGUGUUUACUCUCGCUGCACUAAGCUUUGUUUUCUCCAAACUGAAAUGAUCAAAUGAUUUUCUAACAGAAUAUUAUUACAUGAGGCAGAGUGUAAUGCAAAGUUGAUUGUGGUUCUAAUUUAUUUGUACCCUCUCAGCUCAGUGGACCUCAUUGCUCUGAUUAACAUUAGUCUUCAAUAGAGAGUCGUGGAAGGUUGACAACAUAGAAAUGCAACCUUAUGUUUUAACGCCUUAAGUCCUUGAAUGUAUACUGCUUUAUAUGUAUAAAUUAAUAGUAGACUAAAUGUAUUGUUCUGUGAGAGUAUAUAUUUAUCUGAUAAAAAAAAAUGCUGAAAAACUUAGAUGACUUAAAGUCUAUUCUUUAUAUUACCUAAAACAGGGAACCUCCGUAUUGUUUGUCUUUUUAUCAUUCUGCUGUUUUUUUUUAAUAGAUCAGGGUUGACCCUGUAAAUAAAUACUGAAUCUGAGCUUACAACAUUGGUGUCAGUGAUCUGUCUAUUAGCAUGUGUGUUAUGUAAG